GACGAACGCUGGCGGCGUGCUUAACACAUGCAAGUCGAACGGUAAGGCCCUUCGGGGUACACGAGUGGCGAACGGGUGAGUAACACGUGGGUGAUCUGCCCUGCACUUCGGGAUAAGCCUGGGAAACUGGGUCUAAUACCGGAUAGGACCACUGCCUGCAUGGGUGGUGGUGGAAAGCUUUUGCGGUGUGGGAUGGGCCCGCGGCCUAUCAGCUUGUUGGUGGGGUGAUGGCCUACCAAGGCGACGACGGGUAGCCGGCCUGGGAGGGUAACCGGCCAAACUGGGACUGAGAUACGGCCCAGACUCCUACGGGAGGCAGCAGUGGGGAAUAUUGCACAAUGGGCGCAAGCCUGAUGCAGCGACGCCGCGUGAGGGAUGACGGCCUUCGGGUUGUAAACCUCUUUCAGCACCGACGAAGCGCAAGUGACGGUAGGUGCAGAAGAAGGACCGGCCAACUACGUGCCAGCAGCCGCAGUAA
Molecule: ribosomal RNA, 478 nt
Filed under: uncultured bacterium
Lineage: Bacteria
Description: partial 16S ribosomal RNA
Rfam family: Bacterial small subunit ribosomal RNA
Source: RNAcentral